UACGUAGGGGCUAGCGUUAUCCGGAAUUACUGGGCGUAAAGGGUGCGUAGGUGGUUUCUUAAGUCAGAGGUGAAAGGCUACGGCUCAACCGUAGUAAGCCUUUGAAACUGGGAAACUUGAGUGCAGGAGAGGAGAGUGGAAUUCCUAGUGUAGCGGUGAAAUGCGUAGAUAUUAGGAGGAACACCAGUUGCGAAGGCGGCUCUCUGGACUGUAACUGACACUGAGGCACGAAAGCGUGGGGAGCAAACAGGAUUAGAUACCCGAGUAGUCCCUGAG
RNAcentral lists this ribosomal RNA (276 nucleotides) under uncultured prokaryote. Its description in RNAcentral is "partial 16S ribosomal RNA". It matches the Rfam family "Bacterial small subunit ribosomal RNA", at positions 524 to 801 of the family's 1533-position model. The record is from RNAcentral.